This 41-nucleotide transfer RNA is filed under the name Sphagnum teres. RNAcentral's name for it is "partial tRNA-His". The record is from RNAcentral. Lineage: Eukaryota; Viridiplantae; Streptophyta; Sphagnopsida; Sphagnales; Sphagnaceae.
GGCGGACGUGGCCAAGUGGAUUAAGGCAGUGGAUUGUGAAC